Parus major (Great Tit) is the source of this 1833-nucleotide long non-coding RNA. The record is from Ensembl. NCBI's taxonomy places the organism in Eukaryota, Metazoa, Chordata, Aves, Passeriformes, Paridae.
CUCCCACUGUAUGCUGUCUUCUUCCCACCCUUAAAGUACAGCAGGACAAUGUGCAAUCUCCUCUUUCAAAGCAGUCCUCUGAAGGUGAGCAUUUUCCCCAGCAGGGCAGAGAUUCAGUGCCAGAAUGGAAAUCUCCCAGCUUGAAUUUUCCCCUUGCCUCCCCUUUCUUGCGAGAACCUGUCUUUGGUCAUCUGAAGUACAGCUUGCACGGCUGAUCAGCAGUAAAUUGUAAAUCCUGUGUUUGCUUUGGAGCGGCCACAGCGCCAUUUCCUCCCUCAGGACACCGAGUGCUUUGAAGGAUUGUGCUUUCUGCUGGGAAACAGAUAUAGAAGGGUGCAGGGGAUUGUCAAGAGUGGAAACUUGGUGCAGGAAUGCUCAGCAUUCAAACCAGCCUUAAAAGAAGUUUGUGGGAAGUUGCUGUUUCCUUGAUUGGAAGAAGAAUAGAAGCUGGGCAAGGCUGUGACUCAACCACUGUGACACGACUUCAGGGCAUCCACUGUCUGCUGUGGGUGGACACUGAGUCUGGACAGGAGAAAAUGCAAGUGAAGAAGCAGAGGAGCCAGAUCAGCAUCCCUGGCAGUCUGAGGCAAUUCAUGAUCUCUGUCAGGCCACCCUUGCUAGUGAGCGUCAUGGUACAGCUGAGCAACAAAGCAGCACUGCCAGUGGAGGGCCAUUCCUCACCAGCACUGUGGGGAAGGUGUGAAGACAAGAGGCAGCAGAGAUUGGCAUCAAAACCUCACUUUAGGUGGGAAUCAAAAUCCCAAAAAUGUGUUUUCAAGCUCUUCCCUAAAGAGUUUGUUGUCUUUCUGCCCACCCCCUCCCCUUGCCCUUGAAUCUCUUAGUUACAAUAGGAAAAUUGUUUCACUCUUGCUUUUCCCUGUAGCUCAGCACUGGGCUCCCUUCCCAGAGCAAGUUUUUCAACUGAUUUUAAAAAGAGACUGUUUCCCCAUGAGACAGUGAGGAGGCAGAUGUGCUCUCUGACAUGCCAUGGCAUGUCUGCUGGCAGUGUUGUGCUCCAAGUCCAAGCUUGGUAUGCCUACUGAAAGAAAUGGUGUCUUUCUCAUGAGAGUACUUGUCCUUGGUGACACUAUCUUCUUCCUUUUCUUAGGAGAAAGAAACAGUCACAUACAACACUAAAGUCUCACAGGGGCCAUGAGAGGAGGCUGGAGAUUGAGCCUGGAAAAAUAUUUGGAGUCAAGAAUAUUUUGAAAGAUUAGGCUAGAGGGGUCAAGCAUGUGAGGGGAUAGAUUUUCUAUUUGUAGCAAAUCCAGUGUCAGUCGUGUUAACAGAGACAGGGCUGGAGAAGCAGUGUGGGAAAGCAGACAGACAAGUCUGGCAGCUUCUUAAUGGCUAGGGAGUUUGGAUGCUGACAUGCUUUUCAGGUUGUUUUGCAGGGAGGUAUUCCUCCUUUUGAGGCAUUGUUUUUGAUGCUUGUGACCCUCGGAGAACAGGAGGAUCGAUCAUCUAUGUCAGGUCAAUGAAGAUGGAAGUAAACCUUUCAUUCUCCUUUCCCCCUAUUCCUCUUUGUAUUUUCAACUCAUUUUCUUAUCACAAGAGACUUUCCUCAGAUUUCUCUCAUCAUAUCACUUGACCUGACACAACCUGCCUCCUGAGUUUCCUCACACCUAUUUCCAUUUAUUUUCCUUCUUCACCUUUUCUUAGCACCCCAGAUUUUAAGGAAUGCAGAUCCUCCUCAACUCUAAUUUUUGCCUAGUAUCUUCCUUUUCCUGCUGCUCAAUACCAUAUUCUGGGUCCUUACCUCUUUUCUUGCCCUUCCUUCUCUCCAACCUCUCUUAAUUUUCCUCAAUAUGCUUUACCUCUGUCAUGGCUUGC